This 85-nucleotide transfer RNA is filed under the name Felis catus (domestic cat). It matches the Rfam family "tRNA". Rfam says of the family: Transfer RNA (tRNA) molecules are approximately 80 nucleotides in length. Their secondary structure includes four short double-helical elements and three loops (D, anti-codon, and T loops). The record is from Rfam by way of RNAcentral. Lineage: Eukaryota; Metazoa; Chordata; Mammalia; Carnivora; Felidae.
GCCUGGGUGGCUUAGUUGGUUAAGCAUCUGACUUCAGCUCAGGUCACGAUCUCAUGGUUCGUGGGUUUGAGCCCCGCGUCGGGCU